This 497-nucleotide ribosomal RNA is filed under the name uncultured bacterium. RNAcentral's name for it is "partial 16S ribosomal RNA". It matches the Rfam family "Bacterial small subunit ribosomal RNA", at positions 28 to 507 of the family's 1533-position model. The record is from RNAcentral.
GAUGAACGCUGGCGGCGUGCCUAAUACAUGCAAGUCGAGCGAACAGACGAGGAGCUUGCUCCUCUGACGUUAGCGGCGGACGGGUGAGUAACACGUGGAUAACCUACUUAUAAGACUGGGAUAACUUCGGGAAACCGGAGCUAAUACCGGAUAAUAUAUUGAACCGCAUGGUUCAAUAGUGAAAGACGGUUUUGCUGUCACUUAUAGAUGGAUCCGCGCCGCAUUAGCUAGUUGGUAAGGUAACGGCUUACCAAGGCAACGAUGCGUAGCCGACCUGAGAGGGUGAUCGGCCACACUGGAACUGAGACACGGUCCAGACUCCUACGGGAGGCAGCAGUAGGGAAUCUUCCGCAAAGGGCGAAAGCUUGACGGAGCAACGCCGCGUGAGUGAUGAAGGUCUUCGGAUCGUAAAACUCUGUUAUUAGGGAAGAACAAAUGUGUAAGUAACUAUGCACGUCUUGACGGUACCUAAUCAGAAAGCCACGGCUAACUACGUG